AAAAAAGACACAGAAGCUCCAGUGGUCAUCCUAAACAAAAAAUGAUACAGCAACAUAGAGAUUGUAGAAUGAACCAUCAUCUUUCACUGACCUCCAUAUCCUACAUCCCUAAUGUCCCCCAUGAACUCAUGAUUUGGGAAAAAUAAGUCAUCUUAAAAGAAUGCAAUCAAAACAUAAAUGUGCAGAAUUAUGUCCUAAUUAAUACUUAGACGACUUAUUGAUGCAAUAGGUUUACAACCUAUCACAAAAUGGAUAAUAAAAAGCACACUUGCUAGAAACACUGAUACUAAUCAAGCACUUAACGUCAAUACAACCACAAGUACACAACACCAAGCCAACUGUCGUUUGCAGAGCAUCAUAGUUAUUCUCAAGUCAUUUCAGUAUGCCUUAGAGGCAACCACUCAGCUCUCCAUUCCACUCAUUACACGCUUGCAUACCAUGCACAGAUCCCCCCAGAGGAAAAAAGUAAGGCACUGAUAAA
This 481-nucleotide unclassified non-coding RNA is filed under the name Hevea brasiliensis (rubber tree). The record is from RNAcentral. Lineage: Eukaryota; Viridiplantae; Streptophyta; Magnoliopsida; Malpighiales; Euphorbiaceae.